RNAcentral lists this ribosomal RNA (1371 nucleotides) under uncultured bacterium. Its description in RNAcentral is "bacterial SSU rRNA". It matches the Rfam family "Bacterial small subunit ribosomal RNA", at positions 28 to 1381 of the family's 1533-position model. The record is from RNAcentral.
GAUGAACGCUGGCGGCGUGCCUAAUACAUGCAAGUCGAGCGAACGGACGAGAAGCUUGCUUCUCUGAUGUUAGCGGCGGACGGGUGAGUAACACGUGGAUAACCUACCUAUAAGACUGGGAUAACUUCGGGAAACCGGAGCUAAUACCGGAUAAUAUUUUGAACCGCAUGGUUCAAAAGUGAAAGACGGUCUUGCUGUCACUUAUAGAUGGAUCCGCGCUGCAUUAGCUAGUUGGUAAGGUAACGGCUUACCAAGGCAACGAUGCAUAGCCGACCUGAGAGGGUGAUCGGCCACACUGGAACUGAGACACGGUCCAGACUCCUACGGGAGGCAGCAGUAGGGAAUCUUCCGCAAUGGGCGAAAGCCUGACGGAGCAACGCCGCGUGAGUGAUGAAGGUCUUCGGAUCGUAAAACUCUGUUAUUAGGGAAGGACAUAUGUGUAAGUAACUGUGCACAUCUUGACGGUACCUAAUCAGAAAGCCACGGCUAACUACGUGCCAGCAGCCGCGGUAAUACGUAGGUGGCAAGCGUUAUCCGGAAUUAUUGGGCGUAAAGCGCGCGUAGGCGGUUUUUUAGUCUGAUGUGAAAGCCCACGGCUCAACCGUGGAGGGUCAUUGGAAACUGGAAAACUUGAGUGCAGAAGAGGAAAGUGGAAUUCCAUGUGUAGCGGUGAAAUGCGCAGAGAUAUGGAGGAACACCAGUGGCGAAGGCGACUUUCUGGUCUGUAACUGACGCUGAUGUGCGAAAGCGUGGGGAUCAAACAGGAUUAGAUACCCUGGUAGUCCACGCCGUAAACGAUGAGUGCUAAGUGUUAGGGGGUUUCCGCCCCUUAGUGCUGCAGCUAACGCAUUAAGCACUCCGCCUGGGGAGUACGACCGCAAGGUUGAAACUCAAAGGAAUUGACGGGGACCCGCACAAGCGGUGGAGCAUGUGGUUUAAUUCGAAGCAACGCGAAGAACCUUACCAAAUCUUGACAUCCUUUGACAACUCUAGAGAUAGAGCCUUCCCCUUCGGGGGACAAAGUGACAGGUGGUGCAUGGUUGUCGUCAGCUCGUGUCGUGAGAUGUUGGGUUAAGUCCCGCAACGAGCGCAACCCUUAAGCUUAGUUGCCAUCAUUAAGUUGGGCACUCUAAGUUGACUGCCGGUGACAAACCGGAGGAAGGUGGGGAUGACGUCAAAUCAUCAUGCCCCUUAUGAUUUGGGCUACACACGUGCUACAAUGGACAAUACAAAGGGCAGCGAAACCGCGAGGUCAAGCAAAUCCCAUAAAGUUGUUCUCAGUUCGGAUUGUAGUCUGCAACUCGACUACAUGAAGCUGGAAUCGCUAGUAAUCGUAGAUCAGCAUGCUACGGUGAAUACGUUCCCGGGUCU